This 906-nucleotide ribosomal RNA is filed under the name Monascus purpureus. RNAcentral's name for it is "partial large subunit ribosomal RNA". It matches the Rfam family "Eukaryotic large subunit ribosomal RNA", at positions 36 to 960 of the family's 3401-position model. Lineage: Eukaryota; Fungi; Ascomycota; Eurotiomycetes; Eurotiales; Aspergillaceae. The record is from RNAcentral.
AAGCAUAUCAAUAAGCGGAGGAAAAGAAACCAACCGGGAUUGCCUCAGUAACGGCGAGUGAAGCGGCAAGAGCUCAAAUUUGAAAGCUGGCCCCUCCGGGGUCCGCGUUGUAAUUUGCAGAGGAUGCUUCGGGCUCAGCCCCCGUCUAAGUGCCCUGGAACGGGCCGUCGGAGAGGGUGAGAAUCCCGUCUGGGACGGGGUGCCUGGGUCCAUGUGAAGCUCCUUCGACGAGUCGAGUUGUUUGGGAAUGCAGCUCUAAAUGGGUGGUAAAUUUCAUCUAAAGCUAAAUACUGGCCGGAGACCGAUAGCGCACAAGUAGAGUGAUCGAAAGAUGAAAAGCACUUUGAAAAGAGAGUUAAACAGCACGUGAAAUUGUUGAAAGGGAAGCGCUUGCGAUCAGACUCGCCUGCGGGGUUCAGCCGGCAUUCGUGCCGGUGUACUUCCCCGUGGGCGGGCCAGCGUCGGUUCGGGUGGCCGGUCAAAGGCCCCGGGAAUGUGUCGCCCUCCGGGGCGUCUUAUAGCCCGGGGUGCCAUGCGGCCUACCUGGACCGAGGAACGCGCUUCGGCUCGGACGCUGGCGUAAUGGUCGUAAGCGACCCGUCUUGAAACACGGACCAAGGAGUCUAACAUCUACGCGAGUGUUUGGGUGGCAAACCCAUACGCGCAGUGAAAGCGAACGGAGGUGGGAACCCUUCGGGGCGCACCAUCGACCGAUCCUGAUGUCUUCGGAUGGAUUUGAGUAAGAGCGUAGCUGUGGGGACCCGAAAGAUGGUGAACUAUGCCUGAAUAGGGCGAAGCCAGAGGAAACUCUGGUGGAGGCUCGCAGCGGUUCUGACGUGCAAAUCGAUCGUCAAAUUUGGGUAUAGGGGCGAAAGACUAAUCGAACCAUCUGGUAGCUGGUUCCUG